AGUGAACGCUGGCGGUAGGCCUAACACAUGCAAGUCGAACGGCAGCACAGUAAGAGCUUGCUCUUACGGGUGGCGAGUGGCGGACGGGUGAGGAAUACAUCGGCAUCUACUUUUUCGUGGGGGAUAACGUAGGGAAACUUACGCUAAUACCGCAUACGACCUACGGGUGAAAGCAGGGGAUCUUCGGACCUUGCGCGAUCGAAUGAGCCGAUGUCGGAUUAGCAAGUUGGCGGGGUAAAGGCCCACCAAGGCGACGAUCCGUAGCUGGUCUGAGAGGAUGAUCAGCCACACUGGAACUGAGAGACGGUCCAGACUCCUACGGGAGGCAGCAGUGGGGAAUAUUGGACAAAGGGCGCAAGCCUGAUCCAGCCAGACCGCGUGGGUGAAGAAGGCCUUCGGGUUGUAAAGCCCUUUUGUUGGGAAAGAAAAGCAGCAGGUUAAUACCCCGCUGUUCUGACGGUACCCAAAGAAUAAGCACCGGCUAACUUCGUG
Molecule: ribosomal RNA, 492 nt
Filed under: uncultured bacterium
Lineage: Bacteria
Description: partial 16S ribosomal RNA
Rfam family: Bacterial small subunit ribosomal RNA
Source: RNAcentral